AGCGAACGCUGGCGGCAGGCCUAACACAUGCAAGUCGAACGAACUCUUCGGAGUUAGUGGCGGACGGGUGAGUAACACGUGGGAACGUGCCCUUUGGUUCGGAAUAACUCAGGGAAACUUGUGCUAAUACCGAAUGUGCCCUUCGGGGGAAAGAUUUAUCGCCAUUAGAGCGGCCCGCGUCUGAUUAGCUAGUUGGUGAGGUAACGGCUCACCAAGGCGACGAUCAGUAGCUGGUCUGAGAGGAUGACCAGCCACACUGGGACUGAGACACGGCCCAGACUCCUACGGGAGGCAGCAGUGGGGAAUCUUGUGCAAUGGGCGAAAGCCUGACGCAGCCAUGCCGCGUGAAUGAUGAAGGUCUUAGGAUUGUAAAAUUCUUUCACCGGGGACGAUAAUGACGGUACCCGGAGAAGAAGCCCCGGCUAACUUCGUG
Molecule: ribosomal RNA, 433 nt
Filed under: uncultured bacterium
Lineage: Bacteria
Description: partial 16S ribosomal RNA
Rfam family: Bacterial small subunit ribosomal RNA
Source: RNAcentral